UACGUAGGGUGCAAGCGUUAAUCGGAAUUACUGGGCGUAAAGCGUGCGCAGGCGGUUAUAUAAGACAGAUGUGAAAUCCCCGGGCUCAACCUGGGAACUGCAUUUGUGACUGUAUAGCUAGAGUACGGUAGAGGGGGAUGGAAUUCCGCGUGUAGCUGUGAAAUGCGUAGAUAUGCGGAGGAACACCGAUGGCGAAGGCAAUCCCCUGGACCUGUACUGACGCUCAUGCACGAAAGCGUGGGGAGCAAACAGG
RNAcentral lists this ribosomal RNA (253 nucleotides) under uncultured bacterium. Its description in RNAcentral is "partial 16S ribosomal RNA". It matches the Rfam family "Bacterial small subunit ribosomal RNA", at positions 524 to 776 of the family's 1533-position model. The record is from RNAcentral.